AUUUAGAGAAAGUAAAAGUCGUAACAAGGUUUCCGUAGGUGAACC
This 45-nucleotide ribosomal RNA is filed under the name Parafusicladium amoenum. RNAcentral's name for it is "Fusicladium amoenum partial 18S ribosomal RNA". Lineage: Eukaryota; Fungi; Ascomycota; Dothideomycetes; Venturiales; Sympoventuriaceae. The record is from RNAcentral.